AGGGGCAGCGGGGGAGUAAGCUUGCUUACUUCUGCCGGCGACCGUCGCACGGGUGAGUAACACGUAUGCAACCUGCCCGUCACAGGGGGAUAAUCGGAAGAAAUUCCGUCUAAUACCGCGUGACAACACCGAGAGGCAUCUUUUGGUGUUCAAAGGAAGCAAUUCCGGUGACGGAUGGGCAUGCGUCGCAUUAGCUAGUCGGCGGGGUAACGGCCCACCGAGGCGACGAUGCGUAGGGGUUCUGAGAGGAAGGCCCCCCACACUGGUACUGAGACACGGACCAGACUCCUACGGGAGGCAGCAGUGAGGAAUAUUGGUCAAUGGGCUAAGGCCUGAACCAGCCAAGUCGCGUGAGGGAAGACGGUCCUAUGGAUUGUAAACCUCUUUUGUCGGGGAGCAACGAGGCCACGUGUGGCCGAAGUGAGAGUACCCGAAGAAAAAGCAUCGGCUAACUCCGUGCCAGCAGCCGCGGUAAUACGGAGGAUGCGAGCGUUAUCCGGAUUUAUUGGGUUUAAAGGGUGCGUAGGCGGAACAUUAAGUCAGCGGUAAAAUCGAGGGGCUCAACCCCUUUAAGCCGUUGAAACUGGUGAUCUUGAGUGGGCGAGAAGUAUGCGGAAUGCGUGGUGUAGCGGUGAAAUGCAUAGAUAUCACGCAGAACUCCGAUUGCGAAGGCAGCAUACCGGCGCCCGACUGACGCUGAGGCACGAAAGCGUGGGGAUCGAACAGGAUUAGAUACCCUGGUAGUCCACGCAGUAAACGAUGAAUACUAACUGUCCGGGUCGAGCGAGAUCUGGGUGGUAAAGCGAAAGCGUUAAGUAUUCCACCUGGGGAGUACGCCGGCAACGGUGAAACUCAAAGGAAUUGACGGGGG
Molecule: ribosomal RNA, 871 nt
Filed under: uncultured bacterium
Lineage: Bacteria
Description: bacterial SSU rRNA
Rfam family: Bacterial small subunit ribosomal RNA
Source: RNAcentral